RNAcentral lists this ribosomal RNA (489 nucleotides) under uncultured Hymenobacter sp. Its description in RNAcentral is "bacterial SSU rRNA". It matches the Rfam family "Bacterial small subunit ribosomal RNA", at positions 91 to 578 of the family's 1533-position model. Lineage: Bacteria; Pseudomonadati; Bacteroidota; Cytophagia; Cytophagales; Hymenobacteraceae. The record is from RNAcentral.
AAUAGUGGCGCACGGGUGCGUAACGCGUAACCAACCUACCUGAAUCUGGGGGAUAGCCCGCCGAAAGGCGGAUUAAUACCGCAUAAAACUGCAAUUUGGCAUCAAGUAACAGUUAAAGAUUUAUUGGAUUCAGAUGGGGUUGCGUGCCAUUAGCUAGUUGGGGAGGUAACGGCUCACCAAGGCGACGAUGGCUAGGGGAGCUGAGAGGCUGGUCCCCCACACGGGCACUGAGAUACGGGCCCGACUCCUACGGGAGGCAGCAGUAGGGAAUAUUGGGCAAUGGUCGAGAGACUGACCCAGCCAUGCCGCGUGCAGGAUGAAGGCUUUCUGAGUCGUAAACUGCUUUUAUCAGGGAAGAAUAAAGGGCAUGCGUGCUCUACUGACGGUACCUGAUGAAUAAGCACCGGCUAACUCCGUGCCAGCAGCCGCGGUAAUACGGAGGGUGCAAGCGUUGUCCGGAUUUAUUGGGUUUAAAGGGUGCGUAGGCGG